GAUUUCUGGUUCGGCGCACUUGGCCCGUCUCGGUUUACGGGAUUGCGUGCCGGUGUGCGCCAUCCAUCCUUCGAUGAGAACACCUCUACCCUUUACUGGGGAAGGUGCCUCUCUCGAUCUUUUACUUUGAAAAAAUUAGAGUGUUUAAAGCAGGCUUGCGCUAUGAAUACAUUAGCAUGGAAUAAUAAUUUAGGACUUUGGUCUUAUUUUGUUGGUUUCUAGGACUGAAGUAAUGAUUGAUAGGGACAGUUGGGGGUGCUAGUAUUCAGCGGCCAGAGGUGAAAUUCUUGGAUUCGCUGAAGACUAACUUAUGCGAAAGCAUU
This 323-nucleotide ribosomal RNA is filed under the name uncultured Cercomonas. RNAcentral's name for it is "SSU rRNA". The stretch from base 110 to 323 matches the Rfam family "Eukaryotic small subunit ribosomal RNA", at positions 740 to 955 of the family's 1831-position model. The record is from RNAcentral. Lineage: Eukaryota; Cercozoa; Cercomonadida; Cercomonadidae.